CAAGGCUUGACAUGCAUUAGAUCGCGUCAGAGAUGGCGUUUCCCUUCGGGGCUGGUGUACAGGUGGUGCAUGGUUGUCGUCAGCUCGUGUCGUGAGAUGUUGGGUUAAGUCCCGCAACGAGCGCAACCCUCGUUCUAUGUUGCCAGCGGUUCGGCCGGGGACUCAUAGGAGACUGCCGGGGUCAACUCGGAGGAAGGUGGGGAUGACGUCAAAUCAUCAUGCCCCUUAUGUCUUGGGCUUCACGCAUGCUACAAUGGCCGGUACAGAGGGUUGCGAUACUGUGAGGUGGAGCUAAUCCCUUAAAGCCGGUCUCAGUUCGGAUUGGGGUCUGCAACUCGACCCCAUGAAGUCGGAGUCGCUAGUAAUCGCAGAUCAGCAACGCUGCGGUGAAUACGUUCCCGGGCCUUG
Molecule: ribosomal RNA, 408 nt
Filed under: uncultured Rothia sp.
Lineage: Bacteria; Bacillati; Actinomycetota; Actinomycetes; Micrococcales; Micrococcaceae
Description: bacterial SSU rRNA
Rfam family: Bacterial small subunit ribosomal RNA
Source: RNAcentral